GGGGAUGUCACGGUUUCGACAUGAAUGGUUGAUCUUCAAAUGCAGCAGGGUAAGCCCUUUACAGCUGUCGAGGCUAAUAAAUGCUAAGAACAAUAAAAACGAAGCUGUUGAAGUAGAAUUAAACGACUUUGAAAUCAACGCUUUAAGCCAAAACGCUAAUUUAGCUUUAUACGCUUAAUUACAUUUGGUAAUAAGUUCAUAUCUUUUUCUAGGUAGGUAUGAAUGUUUAAUAACUAGAUAGCUAAUUUAAUUCCUAUAACAAUUAGUGAAGUUCGUUAGGAUUACUUUUAUUUAUGGGUUGUUCUUUGCCUCUAUUUAAAAGGACAUAUUAAAGUUAGAACUAAGCUGUAGAUUUUGUCGCAUUGCUAUUUGUGGAAACGGGUUCGACUCCCGUCAUCUCCACCA
This is a non-coding RNA of 405 nucleotides. It matches the Rfam family "transfer-messenger RNA". From Rfam's summary of the family: Bacterial tmRNA, also known as 10Sa RNA or SsrA, is named for its dual tRNA and mRNA-like properties. Its role is to liberate the mRNA from a stalled ribosome. The record is from Rfam.